GACGGAGGAGGCAAGCGUUAUCCGGAAUUAUUGGGCGUAAAGCGUCCGCAGGCGGCUUUUUAAGUCUGUUGUUAAAGCCCACAGCUCAACUGUGGAUCGGCAAUGGAAACUGGGAGGCUAGAGUGUGGUAGGGGUAGAGGGAAUUCCCGGUGUAGCGGUGAAAUGCGUAGAUAUCGGGAAGAACACCAGUGGCGAAGGCGCUCUACUGGGCCACAACUGACGCUGAGGGACGAAAGCUAGGGGAGCGAAAGGG
RNAcentral lists this ribosomal RNA (253 nucleotides) under uncultured bacterium. RNAcentral describes it as "partial 16S ribosomal RNA". It matches the Rfam family "Bacterial small subunit ribosomal RNA", at positions 524 to 776 of the family's 1533-position model. The record is from RNAcentral.